GCUUACGGCCAUACCACCUUAGGCACGCCCGAGCUCGUCUGAUCUCGGAAGCUAAGCAGGGUCGGGGCUGGUUAGUACUUGGAUGGGUGACCGCCUGGGAAUACCAGGUGCUGUAAGCA
Gadus morhua (Atlantic cod) is the source of this 119-nucleotide ribosomal RNA. NCBI's taxonomy places the organism in Eukaryota, Metazoa, Chordata, Actinopteri, Gadiformes, Gadidae. The record is from Ensembl.